AGUGAACGCUGGCGGUAGGCCUAACACAUGCAAGUCGAACGGCAGCACAGUAAGAGCUUGCUCUUACGGUUGGCGAGGGGCGGACGGGUGAGGAAUACAUCGGAAUCUACUUUUUCGUGGGGGAUAACGUAGGGAAACUUACGCUAAUACCGCAUACGACCUACGGGUGGAAGCAGGGGAUCUUCGGACCUUGCGCGAUUGAAUGAGCCGAUGUCGGAUUAGCUAGUUGGCGGGGUAAAGGCCCACCAAGGCGACGAUCCGUAGCUGGUCUGAGAGGAUGAUCAGCCACACUGGAACUGAGACACGGUCCAGACUCCUACGGGAGGCAGCAGUGGGGAAUAUUGGACAAUGGGCGAAAGCCUGAUCCAGCCAUACCGCGUGGGUGAAGAAGGCCUUCGGGUUGUAAAGCCCUUUUGUUGGGAAAGAAAAGCAGCAGGUUAAUACCCCGCUGUUCUGACGGUACCCAAAGAAUAAGCACCGGCUAACUUCGUG
Molecule: ribosomal RNA, 492 nt
Filed under: uncultured bacterium
Lineage: Bacteria
Description: partial 16S ribosomal RNA
Rfam family: Bacterial small subunit ribosomal RNA
Source: RNAcentral